GAUGAACGCUGGCGGCGUGCCUAAUACAUGCAAGUCGAGCGAACAGACGAGGAGCUUGCUCCUCUGACGUUAGCGGCGGACGUGUGAGUAACACGUGGAUAACCUACCUAUAAGACUGGGAUAACUUCGGGAAACCGGAUCUAAUACCGGAUAAUAUAUUGAACCGCAUGGUUCAAUAGUGAAAGACGGUUUUGCUGUCACUUAUAGAUGGAUCCGCGCCGCAUUAGCUAGUUGGUAAGGUAACGGCUUACCAAGGCAACGAUGCGUAGCCGACCUGAGAGGGUGAUCGGCAACACUGGAACUGAGACACGGACAAGACUCCUACGGGAGGCAGCAGUAGGGAAUCUUCCGCAAGGGGCGAAAGCCUGACGGAGCAACGCCGAGUGAGUGAUGAAGGUCUUCGGAUCGUAAAACUCUGUUAUUAGGGAAGAAAAAAUGUGUAAGUAAAUAUGCACGUCUUGACGGUACCUAAUCAGAAAGCAACGGCUAACUACGUG
Molecule: ribosomal RNA, 497 nt
Filed under: uncultured bacterium
Lineage: Bacteria
Description: partial 16S ribosomal RNA
Rfam family: Bacterial small subunit ribosomal RNA
Source: RNAcentral